UCAACGCAUGUGAUCCCAUAGUCACCGAAGCUAGCGGCUGCUUCCUCUUCCGCCUCCCAUAACUGACGAAUCAAUCAAGCGAUUUCCUCUUCCCCGGUUAUUACUCCCUCAACUCUCCUCUCCCAUGGAGCUCCAUCUCUCUUGAUCCCCCCAUCUGUCUCUCUGCGUCGCUCAGGCUUCCGGCUGCCUCGUGGUGCAUCCCGCCUCCGCUCUCACAUCCUUCGGCCGCCCCCGUGCGCGGCGCGCCUUGUCACAGAUGAUUCAGUCAUCGGCCGAUCGCUAGGAACCACAAGCUUACAGCUUUGAUCUUUGGAAGGAAUGAUGACAUGGAGCCAAAACCCCUACCGUUCUAUGUAGGAAAGUCAUGGCUAUGGAGAUGCCUCGUGAUCACAGCCAACAUAUGAAGCACAUCAUCGUGCUUUUUCACAUGGACAGACGAUCAGGUAGCAUAUAUCUUUUUUGAAUACACAGUGUUUGUUUGCUAAUAUAUAUCUUUAUUUUUCUCAUGCCUUUCAACAAAUUACUGACGUGUUAUGGGUGUUUACCAAGACAUAAUUUUUUUCCUUCACAAAUAAGCCUUUCCACUUUACUGCCUUUGUUGCCAGUUAUAUCAGCAUUAUAUUGUCUAAGGUGUCAUUCCUUUCCUCUCUGAAUUUGGAGCUAUGCUUUGUUGACAGUUUGCAAGUUUGCAAUUUACUCCACUGAACAGGUCAAUGUACAAUUUCUGUUCACAACAGGUUGUCAUAUAGGAGCUGCAGCUUGAAACCAUCUAUUGGUAUGCCUUUGCGUGGUUUCUUAUAAGUAUAGAGGCAUCAUAAUUCAAUAUAUGCACACAUCUUAAAUAUGUUACAAUUUACAUACUAUUUUGUUUGUGACGCACACAUAAUUAAAUGCCUAUUAAUUGAUUCAUGGAAUGAUAUGCCGGUGUAGCGAAUAAGUAAUUUCAUGCACUGCAUAUUUCUCCUUCUUAAAUCGUUGUUAAUUGUUGUAAUAUAUAUUGUUUUUUUAUUUGUAUACCUUUUCUUGCCUGCUGCACACUGUCCAUUUUGAAGAGGUAUAGAAAAUUACUAUUGCGCCCAUCUAUUUUUUGUGACCUUUCAUCUAUGUGAUCCUUUAUUCUUUUCUUGCUUCAUGCAUUGGUGAAAUGCAACAUGUUUUUUCCUUCGAUGUAUUUUUUACACUUAUUUAGUCUUAGCAAAAUGUCGCAAAUAGAGAUCAUAUAUACGUUGGGUUGUUGCUUAUCCAAGAACACUUUGAAGAAGUUGAGGUCGGCUUUGAGUUUUCAAUGAUUUGUUUCCUACCAAUGCUAUGGUUUAAUUUUCACAUCUUAUAAUUUCUUGGUCAACUAUUGUUUCACAAUCGAAUUUAAGAUUAGUUUGUAAUCCAUGAAUACUUCGCAAGCAAUUUAGAAUUAACACAGAUGGCUAUAGAUAGUGAUCAUGUCUGAUGUGGCAAAGUAAAUCAUCCAUCGUUUGUUUGUGAGACCCCAAAACCAAGAUGCGAUUUUCUUCCCACUGAUUAGUUGGAGAUGCUUUGUGCAAACUUAGUGUUUAGUGCAUCUGUUUUGAUGCUUUAGGGUACGUCAUGCUUCAAAGCCAAAACAAGUUGUAGCCAAUUUUACAAUGCUUUGUGCUAAUUUAGUAUAUCGAUUCAGGUUUCUAACUAAGCAUAGUUCCCUUCUAUAGACAACUUAAACUUUUAUAGAUAGCACACAACUUUUACUUGAUGAGGAUAGUUCGUCAUAUAUGGAGCCAUAAAGAUCAGGACGACCAAAUUUUAUCAAAAUAUAGUGCAACCGAUUCCCGCAGCAACGUGCGGGGUAUCAUCUAGUAGCCCCAGCUCACGGUCGCCUGCUGCGGCCUCCCCUGAGGAGCCCGUCUCUUCUGCUUUCAGCAACCCCGGCCCUGGAGCCGGUCUUUGCAGAGCCGUCCUCACCUCAUGUCGCCGCGCAACGGCCGCCUGCGCCACAUCCGAUGACAACACGGCUCCGGGGCAACAUUGUCCAGAAGUUCGUGCCAACUGACAGCACCGUGCACUAUGACCCUCGUCGACGUGCCUUCCAUGCUGAGACACGGUCCUAUCGCCUCGCCCUCGCUGAUGCACAGCGGCGGUCUGCCAUGGAGGAUGAGUUUUCUGCUCUUCAACAGAACAACACUUGGACCCUUGUGCGCCUCGUCCUUCUGGCAAGAACAUCAUAAGUUGUAAGUGGGUAUUUAAAGUGAAGCACGAGUCUGAUGGCUCCUUGGACAAAUUCAAAGCUUGCCUCGUUGCUCGCGGGUUUACUCAGCAGCAUGGUAUUGAUUACACGGAUACGUUUUGUCCUGUCGUCAAACCAGCCACGGUGCGUCUUGUGCUUUCUUUGGCUGUGUGUCGUGGAUGGCACCUGCGUCAAGUGGACAUCAGCAAUGCUUUCUUGCAUGGUUUACUCACUGAAGAAGCCUAUAUGCAGCAGCCUCCCGGUUUCCAUGAUAAUGUCCAUCCUGAUUAUGUCUGCAAGUUGCACAAAGCAUUAUAUGGGUUAAAACAGUCACCUAGGGCCUGGUAUGCUCGCCUCAGCGAUCGUCUUCAGCAGUUGGGCUUCCACUCGUCAGCAGCUGACACUUCCUUGUUCAUCUUUGUCCAUGGUGAUGUUACUAUGUAUAUGCUUGUGUAUGUUGAUGACAUUGUCAUAGUCAGCUCCUCUUCAUCAGCACCGGAUCGUCUUCUCCGUCAACUCUCUGCCACAUUCCCUGUCAAGGAUCUUGGCACCCUUCGCUAUUUUCUCGGUAUUGAAGUGCUUCCCAAUUCCAGGGGAAUGACUCUCAUACAGAAGAACUACGCCCUUGAUUUUCUACAGCGUACUGACAUGGCCAAUUGUAAAGCAGUCUCAAGUCUCAACACCGAUGUGUACUCAUGAGAAGCUCAACAGAGGCACUGGACACCGGCUGAAUGAGGAUGAAGCAUUCAGAUAUAGGAGCAUGGUGGGAGCCCUUCAGUACCUAACCUUGACAUGGCCUGACCUGUCGUUUGCAGUAAACAAGGUCUACCAAUUACUGUCAUGUCCCACCGAUCUUCACUAGGAAGCGGUCAAGCGUAUUCUUCGCUUUGUAAAGGGUACAGUGGCUACAGGUUUGACUAUUCGACGGUCAUCUUCUACUCUGCUAAGUGUGUUUACAGAUGCUGAUUGGGCCGGUUGUGGUGACGACAGACGUUCGACGGGUGGGUUCGCUGUGUUCUUCGGACCCAACCUCAUUUCGUGGAGUGCAUGGAAGCAGCCGACAGUCUCACGAUCGUCAACCGAAGCAGAGUAUAAGGCAUUAGCAAAUGGUACAGCAGAGGCAACGUGGGUACAGUCAUUGUUGAAAGAGUUGCGAGUUCCUCAACCUCGAGCUCCGGUUUUGUGGUGUGACAACCUCGGUGCGAUGUACCUCACAGCAAAUCCUGUGUUUCAUGCUCGCACCAAGCAUAUAUCGACGUAGACUUCCACUUUGUUCGAGAGAAGGUAGCCAUGUGAGCUCUUGAAGUCCGGUUCAUCUCUUCAGCUGACCAAGUGGCAGAUGCAUUCACUAGACCACUCACGAAGACAAUGCUAACCCGGCUGCGUUCCGAUCUCAACCUUUGUACAGGCUGAGAUUGCGGGGGAAUGUUAAACAACCGUGUAGAUUAAGUUAGCUCAGGCUAACCGUAUUGGUGCAUAUCCUUGUAUAGCACGCCAUGUAUAUCUUGUA
Molecule: long non-coding RNA, 3707 nt
Organism: Triticum aestivum (bread wheat)
Lineage: Eukaryota; Viridiplantae; Streptophyta; Magnoliopsida; Poales; Poaceae
Exons: 3
Source: RefSeq, a predicted model, not a curated record